AGUGUAUGUCGUGAAUCAUCGAAUCUUUGAACGCACUUUGCACCUUGUGGCUCAUGUCACAAGGUAUACUUGUUUGAGUAUCCACAACAUCCUCACUACACCUUCGGGUCGUAGUGGACUUGAGAUUCGAUGAGCUGUUCUCUUUUGAAUAGCGAGUCGUCUCUUUAAAGGAAGGCCGACCACACGUGUCUCAGCUGAGAUAUGGUUAUUGGGAUAACAUCCUAACAAUAGCCAUUGGCUCCGACAUGGAAGGCCAUCUUGCAUUGACUGCCACUUAACAGAUGGACGUUGAUACAUAGGGUGUGUGCGCACGCAAGUGGCCCACUCGUAAAUGGAUCUCAAAUCAAGUAGGGAUACCCGCUGAACUUAAGCAUAUCAAUAAGCGGAGG
This 389-nucleotide ribosomal RNA is filed under the name uncultured Pezizales. RNAcentral describes it as "eukaryotic LSU rRNA". The stretch from base 334 to 389 matches the Rfam family "Eukaryotic large subunit ribosomal RNA", at positions 1 to 56 of the family's 3401-position model. The record is from RNAcentral. Lineage: Eukaryota; Fungi; Ascomycota; Pezizomycetes; Pezizales.